GCGGCUGUGGCGGAACAGGUAGACGCGCACGUUUGAGGGGCGUGUGGGAUAACCAUGUGGGUUCAAGUCCCAUCGGCCGCACCA
This 84-nucleotide transfer RNA is filed under the name Oscillospiraceae bacterium. Its description in RNAcentral is "tRNA-Leu". It matches the Rfam family "tRNA". Rfam says of the family: Transfer RNA (tRNA) molecules are approximately 80 nucleotides in length. Their secondary structure includes four short double-helical elements and three loops (D, anti-codon, and T loops). The record is from RNAcentral. Lineage: Bacteria; Bacillati; Bacillota; Clostridia; Eubacteriales; Oscillospiraceae.